UUGUGAAAUUUCAACGCUCUCAGCGACGCAAUAUUUAUAUUGCGUAUUUUUUCUCAAGGUAGAAAAUAGUGUCUGUUAUUAGUAAAUAACAAUGAACAAAAAAAUUUUUGGUGCUUUAUUACGGAGUGAACAUGCAAAAGCAUUACUAGAAAGAAGAUACGCUUUGCCUCAAAUAUUUUGUAUUUCAAAGUAUAAUACUGAUAAAAAAAACAAAAGUGAUUAUGACGAUGAGCUUGACAAGCCCAUUAAGUUUUCAACAUCUAAAGCAGCAACAUGGCCUGCUGGAUUUUCGAGUGAUAAGCAUCUGGAUAGACCAACGUACCAGUCAGAAAUCAUAGCAUUAAGUCUAAUUGUUUUUUAUGUAUAUUUUACUAUGCUUAGAGAAGAAAACGAUAUCGAUGAGAAAAUGGUAGAAAAUAUACCUGUAGAAAUUCUGGAACAAGUAUAUGGAAAAAAUGCCACAAAAGCCAAAUAAACAUAGUUGUAAAUUAAUGUAGUUUAAUGUUGUUACCAAAAUAUUACACAAAAGUAUUUCUAUGAUUGUAACAGGAGGAUGACGCGUAAUUGUAUCUGGUAUACAUUUAUUCCAUGUGUCACACCAUGGUGCUACAACCAUUGUCAUUAUUAAUAUAAUUGGUCCUUCUGUACCAUGCGAGUGCACUUUAAUAUUUACAACACCUAAAGUUUGUAAAAAAAUUAACGCAUAAAAAAUUUACACAAUCGAUGCACUAAUAAACAAACCAUAUAAUAUUUCA
Unclassified non-coding RNA from Megachile rotundata (alfalfa leafcutting bee), 755 nucleotides. The record is from RefSeq and is a predicted model, not a curated record. Lineage: Eukaryota; Metazoa; Arthropoda; Insecta; Hymenoptera; Megachilidae.